RNAcentral lists this long non-coding RNA (623 nucleotides) under Brassica napus (rape). RNAcentral's name for it is "long non-coding RNA (BNAP_LNC014020)". The record is from RNAcentral. Lineage: Eukaryota; Viridiplantae; Streptophyta; Magnoliopsida; Brassicales; Brassicaceae.
GCGGCUCGGCUUGCUCUCGGGGUGACUCGCGGCGAGGAGAGAGGGAGAGAUCCAACGGGGAGAGAAAGGAGAGAGAGAGGCGUGAGAGAAGAAGAGAGAAAAGAAAAAGAUAAGCUUGACGGCUAGGGUUUCCUAGUCUCUCUAAAUCUCUGCAGAGCUUCGCUCAAGUUUCAGAAUGAGACAAAAGAAGGGGCUGCAACUCUUUUUAUAUGAAAAGGUGAAGGGAACCCUAGGUUUUUGUCAAGUGGACCGUAGAGAAGCCCAUUCUUUUAUGAAAAUUUUUGGGUCAGGAACCGGGCCGUUACAACAAGUUUUUACAAAAAAACAAAAACAGAAAAGAGCACGUUUUUGUAGCCCUUCACCAUUCGGUAGGAGACGUAAUUACAAGAUUGGUAUGUCCAAUGGAUCGAAUUCAUGAUCAUCAUAUGAGAAAUGAAAUAUAAACAAAUUUUGUAAACUAAGGUAAGCUAUAGUAUUGUUAGUCCGAUAUAUACACAUAGAUAUAUAUAUAAUUUAUAUGAUAGAAAACAAUAAGAAACAUAUUAUUCGCGAUAGAAUAUCAUAUGAUCUUCUUAUUAUCCAUACCAUAAAAAUCCUAUGAUCUUUUUUUCAAAAAUUUAUAA